This 524-nucleotide ribosomal RNA is filed under the name Bacillus sp. (in: firmicutes). RNAcentral's name for it is "bacterial SSU rRNA". It matches the Rfam family "Bacterial small subunit ribosomal RNA", at positions 94 to 603 of the family's 1533-position model. Lineage: Bacteria; Bacillati; Bacillota; Bacilli; Caryophanales; Bacillaceae. The record is from RNAcentral.
AGCGGCGGACGGGUGAGUAACACGUGGGUAACCUGCCUGUAAGACUGGGAUAACUCCGGGAAACCGGGGCUAAUACCGGAUGCUUGAUUGAACCGCAUGGUUCAAUCAUAAAAGGCGGCUUCGGCUGCCGUUUACAGAUGGACCCGCGGCGCAUUAGCUAGUUGGUGAGGUAAUGGCUCACCAAGGCGACGAUGCGUAGCCGACCUGAGAGGGUGAUCGGCCACACUGGGACUGAGACACGGCCCAGACUCCUACGGGAGGCAGCAGUAGGGAAUCUUCCGCAAUGGACGAAAGUCUGACGGAGCAACGCCGCGUGAGUGAUGAAGGUUUUCGGAUCGUAAAGCUCUGUUGUUAGGGAAGAACAAGUACCGUUCGAAUAGGGCGGUACCUUGACGGUACCUAACCAGAAAGCCACGGCUAACUACGUGCCAGCAGCCGCGGUAAUACGUAGGUGGCAAGCGUUGUCCGGAAUUAUUGGGCGUAAAGCGCGCGCAGGCGGUUUCUUAAGUCUGAUGUGAAAGCCC